UCGAAAAGCCAUGCCAGGGAACUCCUUGGAGCUGGCUUUGGUGUGCUCGGUCCCGGGUGCGGUGGGCAGUAGCAGGCGUACUGUCUAGGAGACGGCUGCUCCACGUUUGCACUCUGCUCUAGGAGGAGGAGGUGGAUGUGGAGUAGGAGGUUGAGCAGGCAGUGACCGUGGCUGCGACGACGCAUUUGGAUGUCUGCCCUAUCAACUUUCGAUGUUACUUUCUGCGCCUACCAUGGUGACCACGGGUAACGGGGAAUCAGGGUUCGAUUCCGGAGAGGGAGGCUGAGAAAUGGCUACCACAUCCAAGGAAGGCAGCAGGCACGCAAAUUACCCACUCCCCACGUGGGGAGGUAGUGACGA
This 360-nucleotide ribosomal RNA is filed under the name Pelobates cultripes (western spadefoot toad). RNAcentral describes it as "SSU_rRNA_microsporidia". It matches the Rfam family "Eukaryotic small subunit ribosomal RNA", at positions 161 to 473 of the family's 1831-position model. The record is from RNAcentral. Lineage: Eukaryota; Metazoa; Chordata; Amphibia; Anura; Pelobatidae.